Molecule: transfer RNA, 77 nt
Filed under: Moraxella bovis
Lineage: Bacteria; Pseudomonadati; Pseudomonadota; Gammaproteobacteria; Moraxellales; Moraxellaceae
Also listed under: 11 other names
Description: tRNA-Pro(tgg)
Rfam family: tRNA
About the family: Transfer RNA (tRNA) molecules are approximately 80 nucleotides in length. Their secondary structure includes four short double-helical elements and three loops (D, anti-codon, and T loops). Further hydrogen bonds mediate the characteristic L-shaped molecular structure. tRNAs have two regions of fundamental functional importance: the anti-codon, which is responsible for specific mRNA codon recognition, and the 3' end, to which the tRNAs corresponding amino acid is attached (by aminoacyl-tRNA synthetases). tRNAs cope with the degeneracy of the genetic code in two manners: having more than one tRNA (with a specific anti-codon) for a particular amino acid; and 'wobble' base-pairing, i.e. permitting non-standard base-pairing at the 3rd anti-codon position.
Source: RNAcentral
CGGGGCGUAGCGCAGCUUGGUAGCGCAUCUGCUUUGGGAGCAGAGGGUCGGGGGUUCAAAUCCCUCCGCCCCGACCA